Molecule: long non-coding RNA, 911 nt
Filed under: Danio rerio (zebrafish)
Lineage: Eukaryota; Metazoa; Chordata; Actinopteri; Cypriniformes; Danionidae
Description: lncRNA (ENSDARG00000117788.1)
Source: RNAcentral
UAUAUAUAUAUAUAUAUAUAUAUAUAUAUAUAUAUAUAUAUAUAUAUAUAUAUAUAUAUAUAUAUAUAUUAUUAUUAUUAUUUUACUUUUUUUUUUUAAUAGCCAUAUCCAAUUUCUGAUCCAUGCAUAACAUGUUUUUUUUUUUUUUUUUUUUUUGACAGGAUAACCUUUAGAUGCCAGCUGGCGAUUUUAACAUCGACACGCUGAUGCAAUCCUGAUGAAGAAUUACUCCCAAAGUCUCAUCCUUUUACUUCCUUCACUUCAAACAGACGAGGAAAGCCAGGCAGGAGGCACUGCUUGUGAUAGAACCCUUCACCCUGGUGUGCGUCUCGGUCUGGAAACCACCUCAAAUCUGCAACCCAGCACGACUCAGCUGGUGGAUGGCAAAUCAAAAGUGCAAUCAAGCAAAAAAAAAAAAACAGAAGAUGCUGCAGUCUUUUCCAUACAGCAGGCCUGUGGAGAUCAUUGAAGAGGAGCAGACUACAAUGCCCUUGCCUCUUGAUGUGGCCUCUCAGGGGAAAAAUUGCAGGUAAACUAAGCUGGAAACAUUGCCAACAAAUCUCUUCGCUUGUCUCUCGCUCCGUCUUUCCCUGUAGCUGGCAGAUUAGAAUAGCUGAUCAAAUCCAUGAGCAUGGCGUCUCCGGCGGGACACGGUGUGCAAAUCUGCUGCACAUCACUUCUAACAUACUUCACAUUUGGAAGAAACAGGACAUCCUUCUCAGAUUCAGAGACAAUGUCUAAAGUGUAAAUGUGUUAGUAUGUGUGUAUAAAGCCAUACAAUUCCUGGCUUAAAUUUGCAGUUGUAAGCCGGAAAUUGUAAGGAAUUAUGACUAAAGCUUUGUCAAAGAGCUUAAUGUGGUAUUUAUAAUGUGAAAAUAUAAAUAAAUGCUUGCACUUUAUGGUUUCUAAAG